GAUGAAGAACGUAGCGAAAUGCGAUAAGUAAUGUGAAUUGCAGAAUUCAGUGAAUCAUCGAAUCUUUGAACGCACCUUGCGCUCCUUGGCAUUCCGAGGAGCAUGCCUGUUUGAGUGUCAUUAAAUUCUCAAGACCUGUCUGCUUUUUUGAUAGGUAUUGGAUUUUGGGGGUUGCAGGCUGUUUCAAAUAAAUAGCCUUGCUCUCCUUGAAUGUAUUAGUGGAGAAAAGCCAUUGAACUCCAUUGGUGUGAUAAAACCUAUCAAUCCCAGGAGCAAUAUCACUACUUCUCUCUGCUGUCUAACUGUGACUGUCUGUAUUAAUUAGUAUGGAUGGGGACAACUUGACCAACUUGACCUCAAAUCAGGUAGGACUACCCGCUGAACUUAAGCAUAUCAAUAAGCGGAGGA
RNAcentral lists this unclassified non-coding RNA (408 nucleotides) under soil metagenome. RNAcentral describes it as "partial contains 5.8S ribosomal RNA, internal transcribed spacer 2, and large subunit ribosomal RNA". The stretch from base 1 to 120 matches the Rfam family "5.8S ribosomal RNA", at positions 35 to 154 of the family's 154-position model. The record is from RNAcentral.